UUGCAGUGAUAUAUUGCCACAACAUCAUUCUGAAGAAAAGUGAUGAUUUCCUGUGACUAUGAACA
This is a small nucleolar RNA of Bison bison bison, 65 nucleotides long. Its record names the gene SNORD63. It matches the Rfam family "Small nucleolar RNA SNORD63". Rfam says of the family: snoRNA U63 is found in both humans and mice. U63 is a member of the C/D class of snoRNA which contain C (UGAUGA) and D (CUGA) box motifs. Lineage: Eukaryota; Metazoa; Chordata; Mammalia; Artiodactyla; Bovidae. The record is from Ensembl.